AUACGGAGGGGGCAAGCGUUGUUCGGAAUUACUGGGCGUAAAGGGCGCGUAGGCGGAUUAUCAAGUCAGAGGUGAAAGCCCUGGGCUCAACCUGGGAACUGCCUUUGAAACUGAUCGGCUCGAGUUCGGGAGAGGAUGGCGGAAUUCCCAGUGUAGAGGUGAAAUUCGUAGAUAUUGGGAAGAACACCGGUGGCGAAGGCGGCCAUCUGGCCCGACACUGACGCUGAGGCGCGAAAGCGUGGGGAGCAAACAGGAUUAGAAACCCCAGUAGUCC
This 274-nucleotide ribosomal RNA is filed under the name uncultured bacterium. RNAcentral describes it as "partial 16S ribosomal RNA". It matches the Rfam family "Bacterial small subunit ribosomal RNA", at positions 523 to 796 of the family's 1533-position model. The record is from RNAcentral.